GUCCCUGUCGAUUAGUGGUUAAAUCAUCACGUUGUGGCGUUGCCCGCAAGUCCGUGAAGCCGGGAGCUCGAAUCUCCCCAGGGACA
Molecule: non-coding RNA, 86 nt
Organism: Dendrothele bispora CBS 962.96
Lineage: Eukaryota; Fungi; Basidiomycota; Agaricomycetes; Agaricales
Source: the annotation of a GenBank genome assembly